RNAcentral lists this transfer RNA (74 nucleotides) under Actinomycetes bacterium. RNAcentral describes it as "tRNA-Leu". It matches the Rfam family "tRNA". Rfam says of the family: Transfer RNA (tRNA) molecules are approximately 80 nucleotides in length. Their secondary structure includes four short double-helical elements and three loops (D, anti-codon, and T loops). The record is from RNAcentral. Lineage: Bacteria; Bacillati; Actinomycetota; Actinomycetes. RNAcentral also lists the same sequence under 1 other name.
GCCCCUGUGGCCCAACCGGUAGAGGCAGGCGGCUUAAACCCGCUACAGUGUGGGUUCGAACCCCACCAGGGGCA